RNAcentral lists this ribosomal RNA (587 nucleotides) under uncultured bacterium. Its description in RNAcentral is "partial 16S ribosomal RNA". It matches the Rfam family "Bacterial small subunit ribosomal RNA", at positions 355 to 1375 of the family's 1533-position model. The record is from RNAcentral.
UGGGGAAUUUUGGACAAUGGGCGAAAGCCUGAUCCAGCAAUGCCGCGUGUGUGAAGAAGGCCUUCGGGUUGUAAAGCACUUUUGUCCGGAAAGAAAUCCUUGGCUCUAAUACAGUCGGGGGAUGACGGUACCGGAAGAAUAAGCACCGGCUAACUACGUGCCAGCAGCCGCGGUAAUACGUAGGGUGCAAGCGUUAAUCGGAAUUACUGGGCGUAAAGCGUGCGCAGGCGGUUUGCUAAGACCGAUGUGAAAUCCCCGGGCUCAACCUGGAACUGCAUUGGUGACUGGCAGGCUAGAGUAUGGCAGAGGGGGGUAGAAUUCCACGUGUAGCAGUGAAAUGCGUAGAGAUGUGGAGGAAUACCGACGGCGAAGGCAGCCCCCUGGGCCAAUACUGACGCUCAUGCACGAAAGCGUGGGGAGCAAACAGGAUUAGAUACCCUGGUAGUCCACGCCCUAAAACGAUGUCAACUAGUUGUUGGGGAUUCAUUUCCUUAGUAAACGUAGCUAACGCGUGAAGUUGACCGCCUGGGGAGUACGGUCGCAAGAUUAAAAACUCAAAUGAAUUGACGGGGUCAUAGCUGUUUCCU